CGGGGGGGGCAAGCGUUGUUCGGAAUUACUGGGCGUAAAGGGCGCGUAGGCGGUUCGCUAAGUUGAAUGUGAAAACUCUGGGCUUAACCCAGAGCCUGCAUUCAAUACUGGCGGGCUAGAGUUCUGGAGGGGAUAGCGGAAUUCCUGGUGUAGCGGUGAAAUGCGUAGAUAUCAGGAGGAACACCGGUGGCGAAGGCGGCUAUCUGGACAGAGUCUGACGCUGAUGCGCGAAAGCUAGGGGAGCAAACAGGAUUAGAUACCCUGGUAGUCCUAGCCCUAAACGAUGGAUACUUGCUGUGACUGGGAUUGAAUCCAGUCGUGGCGAAGCUAACGCAUUAAGUAUCCCGCCUGGGGAGUACGGUCGCAAGGCUG
RNAcentral lists this ribosomal RNA (372 nucleotides) under uncultured organism. RNAcentral describes it as "bacterial SSU rRNA". It matches the Rfam family "Bacterial small subunit ribosomal RNA", at positions 526 to 896 of the family's 1533-position model. The record is from RNAcentral.